AACGAACGCUGGCGGCAGGCUUAACACAUGCAAGUCGAGCGCCCCGCAAGGGGAGCGGCAGACGGGUGAGUAACGCGUGGGAAUCUACCCAACUCUACGGAAUAACUCAGGGAAACUUGUGCUAAUACCGUAUACGCCCUUCGGGGGAAAGAUUUAUCGGAGUUGGAUGAGCCCGCGUUGGAUUAGCUAGUUGGUGGGGG
Molecule: ribosomal RNA, 200 nt
Filed under: uncultured bacterium
Lineage: Bacteria
Description: partial 16S ribosomal RNA
Rfam family: Bacterial small subunit ribosomal RNA
Source: RNAcentral